AAAGUUCCAAAGAAGCUGUCAACAUGUCUCUUGGACUUUCAAUGUCUGUAAAUCCUGAGUUUUCAACAGCCGUGGUUUGUGGUCCGACCAUACCUAAGAACUGUGACGUCACCACUUACAAUGGCAUGUGCUUUAAAAUCAAUUCAAAAAAUUCUGUAAGCCAACCUGUGCCGAGGACUCUGAGAGAAUGUCCAAAAUCGCAAAUAGAUAUCGCUUUUUUAAUGGAUGGAUCUGGAAGUGUAAAUGAUGUUGAUUUUUCUAAGAUGAAGAAAUUUGUUAUAAAAAUGAUUAGAAGUUUUAUAGACCAGGAUGCAAAG
Puntigrus tetrazona (Sumatra barb) is the source of this 317-nucleotide long non-coding RNA. RefSeq lists it as uncharacterized. Lineage: Eukaryota; Metazoa; Chordata; Actinopteri; Cypriniformes; Cyprinidae. The transcript has 3 exons. The record is from RefSeq and is a predicted model, not a curated record.